Molecule: ribosomal RNA, 90 nt
Filed under: Kitasatospora purpeofusca
Lineage: Bacteria; Bacillati; Actinomycetota; Actinomycetes; Kitasatosporales; Streptomycetaceae
Also listed under: 18 other names
Description: partial 16S ribosomal RNA
Rfam family: Bacterial small subunit ribosomal RNA
Source: RNAcentral
UUCACGGAGAGUUUGAUCCUGGCUCAGGACGAACGCUGGCGGCGUGCUUAACACAUGCAAGUCGAACGGUGAAGCCCUUCGGGGUGGAUC